Molecule: ribosomal RNA, 490 nt
Filed under: Synechococcus sp. CCY0450
Lineage: Bacteria; Bacillati; Cyanobacteriota; Cyanophyceae; Synechococcales; Synechococcaceae
Description: bacterial SSU rRNA
Rfam family: Bacterial small subunit ribosomal RNA
Source: RNAcentral
AUGGCUGUCGUCAGCUCGUGUCGUGAGAUGUUGGGUUAAGUCCCGCAACGAGCGCAACCCACGUCUUUAGUUGCCAGCAUUCAGUUGGGCACUCUAGAGAGACCGCCGGUGAUAAACCGGAGGAAGGUGUGGAUGACGUCAAGUCAUCAUGCCCCUUACAUCCUGGGCUACACACGUACUACAAUGCUACGGACAAAGGGCAGCAAACUCGCGAGAGCUAGCAAAUCCCAUAAACCGUGGCUCAGUUCAGAUCGUAGGCUGCAACUCGCCUACGUGAAGGAGGAAUCGCUAGUAAUCGCAGGUCAGCAUACUGCGGUGAAUACGUUCCCGGGCCUUGUACACACCGCCCGUCGCACCAUGGAAGUUGGCCAUGCCCGAAGUCGUUACUCCAACCCGCAAGGGAGGAGGACGCCGAAGGUGGGGCUGAUGACUGGGGUGAAGUCGUAACAAGGUAGCCGUACCGGAAGGUGCGGCUGGAUCACCUCCUAAC